Molecule: long non-coding RNA, 332 nt
Filed under: Manihot esculenta (cassava)
Lineage: Eukaryota; Viridiplantae; Streptophyta; Magnoliopsida; Malpighiales; Euphorbiaceae
Description: long non-coding RNA (MESC_LNC011283)
Source: RNAcentral
UCAAUUGAUUGAGAAUAAAUUAAAAGUUGUGUGAAUGAACCUAAUGUGACUUGAUUUAGCAAUUGGUGUUGAUUUGCCCAAAUCAUUGAGAGAAAGAAAAUUCAGCAAAGGCAAAGACCUCAAAAGCACAAAAUUGAAAAUUGUUCCAAUGGUCAAAAGACUAUGAACAAGGCUAGUAGCCACUUGGAUGGGUGACCAACUGAAAAAUAUAAACCAUGACAUCAAAAAUAGGUUGGUGACCUUUCGAAGCGAGAUCUAAAGUGCAAAAGCCUGAAUAAAGUACUUCAAGGUAAGGGCAAGUCAAUCCAAAAGCUAGAAAAAGUCUUAACAAA